This 279-nucleotide ribosomal RNA is filed under the name uncultured bacterium. RNAcentral describes it as "partial 16S ribosomal RNA". It matches the Rfam family "Bacterial small subunit ribosomal RNA", at positions 506 to 784 of the family's 1533-position model. The record is from RNAcentral.
UGCCAGCAGCCGCGGUAAGACAGAAGGGGCGAGUGUUAUUCGGAAUGAUUGGGCGUAAAGGGCACGUAGGCGGCUCUUUAAGUAAAAGGUUAAAAUCCAGAGCUUGACUGUGGGCCCGCUUUUUAAACUGAAAAGCUUGAGCUUGAAAGAGGAUAUUAGAAUUUCGAGUGGAGAGGUCAAAUUCUUAGAUAUUCGGAGGAAUACCAAAUGCGAAGGCAUAUAUCUGGUUCAAAGCUGACGCUGAGGUGCGAAAGCAUGGGGAGCAAACGGGAUUAGAUA